GGUUGCAUAGUGCAGUGGAUUAGUGCGUCUGACUUCAAAUUAGAAGAUUAUGGGUUCGACUCCCAUUGUGGUCA
Transfer RNA from Ipomoea nil (Japanese morning glory), 74 nucleotides. It matches the Rfam family "tRNA". Rfam says of the family: Transfer RNA (tRNA) molecules are approximately 80 nucleotides in length. Their secondary structure includes four short double-helical elements and three loops (D, anti-codon, and T loops). The record is from Rfam. Lineage: Eukaryota; Viridiplantae; Streptophyta; Magnoliopsida; Solanales; Convolvulaceae.